GUUUUAGCCUGUCAUUAGACGAGUUAGGGCUUCGUCCUAUUACCAGAAAUACAGAGUAAACGAAAUUAGGGCGUCGUUGGUUCAUCCAUGGCAGAGAUUGAGGUACCUUGGGAUGAUGCUGGAAGAGGAGGGAUUGCGGUGGUUGGAGAUUUGAAAGAGUCAUCGUCGCCGGUCCAUAAGAAGCAGAGAUCGGACGAAAAAGAUGAACUGGAGUUUUAUGACGAAGACAUUCGGCAAAUAAAUUUACAAGCUGAUCAAUUGGUUUAUACCGAAAAAGACCAUGCCUUGGAUAGCAUCAUUUCAAUUCUGAACGACUACUACCCUGAUGGCUGCAAUGACGAGAAUGAUGUAUGGUUUAAGUACUGGCGACAGCUCGUAGAUAGCGAGGGCUUUGAUAUUGACCCUAUCCCGUACCAUGAUACUACGAAGCUGCCUAUCCCGUACCAUGAUACUAGGAACCUGGCCUUCGUUCCAUUACUGGAGUUGGAAAAUUAUCCAGGCAUUCAUGAGCGUAUUAUUAAACAGGCAAACCUUGCAAUUGAGCAUCACAACCAAAAGAAAGACACAGACUAUGAGUUUGCGAAGGUUGAGAAGGCAAACGCACGAUUUUGGGGUCCAACUGGUACCAAUUUUUAUAUUACCUUCCUGGCCAAGGAUUCUUAUGCUGCUUGUGGUUUGACUACCUUUCAAGCUCUGGUAUGGGAAGGUGCAGAACCUGAUGAAUACUAUGUCAAGUUCUGCAGGCCUAAAGUAGUUGCAAAUUGACUUAUCUCUUGUAAGUAGUUGCAAAUAGAUAUAAAGGUAUGCAUUUCAUCUUACCUGAAGGGGCGGCCGACAACUAAUACAGUCAUGAAUAUACGGAUAUUCACUACUCAGGGUAAGACCUCUUGCUUUAGCAUAGUCAAAGAGUCUAAUUGUGUGGUAUGCUUCAAAUCUCUGUUGUUUGAUGUCUUCAUCUCUGGCCCCAUCCCUCCUUUUUACACAGUUGAGAAUUUCUUGCAUGGAUAAGGGGAUUUGUGACUCUUCCCUGUGACAAGUCUGAUAUUGGGAUGCGAUUGCUUCUGAACCAACAACUGCCCAACAGACAUCUGGAGCAGGACAUGAGGUUCAGAUCGCCAUGAAAAAGAUUCCUAUAAGUAAAGAAAUAAAAGUUUGUAAACAACUUAUACUAAGCAUCAACCUAUAGUUUAAGUAUUGUAUAAUUUUUUAUGGCAAAUCCAAGUGCCAUCACAAAGAUGCAAAAACGAAUUAAAAAAAUAAAAAAAAAUCUAAGGCAUAACAAGUAACGACACUGUUGUGGUACAGAACCAGAAUUGUUGCAGGAAAUGGAAAUAAGUAGACUUCAGAAAUGAAUUUAGCAGGUUUGCAGACACAAUGAAUUCAAACGAAAACCUUCAUUGCAUUCAUUAAUGGGGGUUAAUUCCGGAACUGAAUCAGACUUGGCGGGAAAAGUGUAGAAGGGGAAAACAGAAUGGGGGUUAACUCCGGAACUGAUGAGGGGUUCUGGAGUGUUUCUUGAUAAUGUUCGGAUACAAUGGGGGUUAACUGGCGGGAACUGAUGGGGGGAUGCAAGCCCUGUUCGUCCAAAGUUCUGAGACAUCACCCUACGGGCUUUUCAGUGGCAGGGGCCAAAAUGUGUAUAUAUAUAUCUAUCUGCUAUAUGUAAUUUGGAACGGAGGUAAGGGAGGUUAAUGCAAACUAAAUACUUAAUGGCCGUCCUUGAGAUCCUGAUAGGUGUAUUAAUCAGUAGUAACUAAGGUUUUUUGUUCGACUUUCAAUAAUUCUUUUUCUCUUUUUAAAUUAAAAAAUGAAUUAAAUUACUCAAUAUUCAAAAUGCACUUGGCUUGUUAAAGAUUCCUUCAAACUUAAUUUGCUAACUAAUCAAGCUAGACAAUUUUGUUUGUAGUUUUAAAUUUUCUACACCUAAAAAUUGAUUUUCUCAAAUUUAAGUGAAUUACUCCCUCAAAGUGCAUUCAUCAUUCGUCAAAACAGGCAAAAGUGAGGGAGUAAGGGUGCUAAAGAUUUUACAUCCUUCUUCUACAGGCAUGGAUAGAGCAUAUUUUGACAGGUGAUCAGCAGUCUGUUUGAAUUCUCAUUUACAAUGACAUAGCUUUAGAUGGGGGGGGGUUCCUUUUUAGCAGCUGCAAGCAGUCUUGCAGGAGUGCUUUUUGCAGGAGUGCUUUCUUUUGGUUUUCCUUCGAUCUCCCUGCUUCUUGAAGCUCCAGUAGGCUGUCCACAACAAUUUUUGAGUCGGAAAGAAUUAAAAUUUCAGUAAAAUUGCAUGUUGUGUGUGAAGUAAAACAAUUUUACAUUCUAUGCGUACUUGGUUGCACAAUAGUACAUGUGUUCAUGGACCCAAAAAAGAAAAAGAAAUUAAAA
Coffea arabica (coffee) is the source of this 2379-nucleotide non-coding RNA. Lineage: Eukaryota; Viridiplantae; Streptophyta; Magnoliopsida; Gentianales; Rubiaceae. The record is from RefSeq and is a predicted model, not a curated record.